UCCCUGGUGGCUCAGAGGUUAAAGCAUCUGCCUGCAAUGUGGGAGAUCUGGGUUCGAUCCCUGGGUUGGGAA
This is a non-coding RNA of Bos taurus (domestic cattle), 72 nucleotides long. NCBI's taxonomy places the organism in Eukaryota, Metazoa, Chordata, Mammalia, Artiodactyla, Bovidae. The record is from Rfam.